GGUUAAGUUAGAAAGGGCGCACGGUGGAUGCCUUGACACUAGGAGUCGAUGAAGGACGGGACUAACGCCGAUAUGCUUCGGGGAGCUGUAAGUAAGCUUUGAUCCGAAGAUUUCCGAAUGGGGAAACCCACCAUACGUAAUGGUAUGGUAUCCUUAUCUGAAUACAUAGGGUAAGGAAGACAGACCCAGGGAACUGAAACAUCUAAGUACCUGGAGGAAGAGAAAGCAAAUGCGAUUUCCUGAGUAGCGGCGAGCGAAACGGAACAUAGCCCAAACCAAGAGGCUUGCCUCUUGGGGUUGUAGGACAUUCUAUACGGAGUUACAAAGGAACGAGGUAGACGAAGCGACCUGGAAAGGUCCGUCGUAGAGGGUAACAACCCCGUAGUCGAAACUUCGUUCUCUCUUGAAUGUAUCCUGAGUACGGCGGAACACGUGAAAUUCCGUCGGAAUCUGGGAGGACCAUCUCCCAAGGCUAAAUACUCCCUAGUGAUCGAUAGUGAACCAGUACCGUGAGGGAAAGGUGAAAAGCACCCCGGAAGGGGAGUGAAAGAGAUCCUGAAACCGUGUGCCUACAAAUAGUCAGAGCCCGUUAACGGGUGAUGGCGUGCCUUUUGUAGAAUGAACCGGCGAGUUACGAUCCCGUGCGAGGUUAAGCUGAAGAGGCGGAGCCGCAGCGAAAGCGAGUCUGAAUAGGGCGUUUAGUACGUGGUCGUAGACCCGAAACCAGGUGAUCUACCCAUGUCCAGGGUGAAGUUCAGGUAACACUGAAUGGAGGCCCGAACCCACGCACGUUGAAAAGUGCGGGGAUGAGGUGUGGGUAGCGGAGAAAUUCCAAUCGAACCUGGAGAUAGCUGGUUCUCCCCGAAAUAGCUUUAGGGCUAGCCUUAAGUGUAAGAGUCUUGGAGGUAGAGCACUGAUUGGACUAGGGGUCCUCAUCGGAUUACCGAAUUCAGUCAAACUCCGAAUGCCAAUGACUUAUCCUUAGGAGUCAGACUGCGAGUGAUAAGAUCCGUAGUCAAAAGGGAAACAGCCCAGACCGCCAGCUAAGGUCCCAAAGUGUGUAUUAAGUGGAAAAGGAUGUGGAGUUGCUUAGACAACUAGGAUGUUGGCUUAGAAGCAGCCACCAUUUAAAGAGUGCGUAAUAGCUCACUAGUCGAGUGACUCUGCGCCGAAAAUGUACCGGGGCUAAAUACACCACCGAAGCUGCGGAUUGAUACCGAAUGGUAUCAGUGGUAGGGGAGCGUUCUAAGGACAGUGAAGUCAGACCGGAAGGACUGGUGGAGUGCUUAGAAGUGAGAAUGCCGGUAUGAGUAGCGAAAGACGGGUGAGAAUCCCGUCCACCGAAUGCCUAAGGUUUCCUGAGGAAGGCUCGUCCGCUCAGGGUUAGUCAGGACCUAAGCCGAGGCCGACAGGCGUAGGCGAUGGACAACAGGUUGAUAUUCCUGUACCACCUCUUUAUCGUUUGAGCAAUGGAGGGACGCAGAAGGAUAGAAGAAGCGUGCGAUUGGUUGUGCACGUCCAAGCAGUUAGGCUGAUAAGUAGGCAAAUCCGCUUAUCGUGAAGGCUGAGCUGUGAUGGGGAAGCUCCUUAUUGAGCGAAGUCUUUGAUUCCCCGCUGCCAAGAAAAGCUUCUAGCGAGAUAAAAGGUGCCUGUACCGCAAACCGACACAGGUAGGCGAGGAGAGAAUCCUAAGGUGUGCGAGAGAACUCUGGUUAAGGAACUCGGCAAAAUGACCCCGUAACUUCGGGAGAAGGGGUGCUUUCUUAACGGAAAGCCGCAGUGAAUAGGCCCAAGCGACUGUUUAGCAAAAACACAGCUCUCUGCGAAGCCGUAAGGCGAAGUAUAGGGGUGACACCUGCCCGGUGCUGGAAGGUUAAGGAGAGGGGUUAGCGUAAGCGAAGCUCUGAACUGAAGCCCCAGUAAACGGCGGCCGUAACUAUAACGGUCCUAAGGUAGCGAAAUUCCUUGUCGGGUAAGUUCCGACCCGCACGAAAGGUGUAACGAUUUGGGCACUGUCUCAACCAGAGACUCGGUGAAAUUAUAGUACCUGUGAAGAUGCAGGUUACCCGCGACAGGACGGAAAGACCCCGUGGAGCUUUACUGUAGCCUGAUAUUGAAUUUUGGUACAGUUUGUACAGGAUAGGCGGGAGCCUUUGAAACCGGAGCGCUAGCUUCGGUGGAGGCGCUGGUGGGAUACCGCCCUGACUGUAUUGAAAUUCUAACCUACGGGUCUUAUCGACCCGGGAGACAGUGUCAGGUGGGCAGUUUGACUGGGGCGGUCGCCUCCUAAAGUGUAACGGAGGCGCCCAAAGGUUCCCUCAGAAUGGUUGGAAAUCAUUCGUAGAGUGCAAAGGCAUAAGGGAGCUUGACUGCGAGACCUACAAGUCGAGCAGGGACGAAAGUCGGGCUUAGUGAUCCGGUGGUUCCGCAUGGAAGGGCCAUCGCUCAACGGAUAAAAGCUACCCCGGGGAUAACAGGCUUAUCUCCCCCAAGAGUCCACAUCGACGGGGAGGUUUGGCACCUCGAUGUCGGCUCAUCGCAUCCUGGGGCUGUAGUCGGUCCCAAGGGUUGGGCUGUUCGCCCAUUAAAGCGGUACGCGAGCUGGGUUCAGAACGUCGUGAGACAGUUCGGUCCCUAUCCGUCGUGGGCGUAGGAAAUUUGAGAGGAGCUGUCCUUAGUACGAGAGGACCGGGAUGGACGCACCGCUGGUGUACCAGUUGUUCUGCCAAGGGCAUAGCUGGGUAGCUAUGUGCGGAAGGGAUAAGUGCUGAAAGCAUCUAAGCAUGAAGCCCCCCUCAAGAUGAGAUUUCCCAUAGCGUAAGCUAGUAAGAUCCCUGAAAGAUGAUCAGGUUGAUAGGUUCGAGGUGGAAGCAUGGUGACAUGUGGAGCUGACGAAUACUAAUAGAUCGAGGACUUAACCAU
Molecule: ribosomal RNA, 2922 nt
Filed under: Bacillus tropicus
Lineage: Bacteria; Bacillati; Bacillota; Bacilli; Caryophanales; Bacillaceae
Description: 23S ribosomal RNA
Rfam family: Bacterial large subunit ribosomal RNA
Source: RNAcentral